GACGAACGCUGGCGGCGUGCUUAACACAUGCAAGUCGAACGAUGAAGCUGGAGCUUGCUCCGGUGGAUUAGUGGCAAACGGGAGAGUAACACGUGUGCACUCUGCCCUUCACUGUGAGAUCACUGCGGGAAACUGUAGCUAAUACCGGAUACGAGCCGUGGAGGCGUAUCCGUGGCUGUAAAGUAUUUCGGUGAAGGAUGAGCUCGCGGCCUAUCAGCUUGUUGGUGAGGUAAUGGCUCACCAAGGCGACGACGGGUAGCCGGCCUGAGAGGGUGACCGGCCACACUGGGACUGAGACAUGGCCCAGACUCCUACGGGAGGCAGCAGUGGGGAAUAUUGCACAAUGGGCGAAAGCCUGAUGCAGCAACGCCGCGUGAGGGAUGAAGGCCUUCGGGUUGUAAACCUCUUUUAGCAGGGAAGAAGCGAAAGUGACGGUACCUGCAGAAAAAGCACCGGCUAACUACGUGCCAGCCGCCGCAGUAA
Molecule: ribosomal RNA, 483 nt
Filed under: uncultured bacterium
Lineage: Bacteria
Description: partial 16S ribosomal RNA
Rfam family: Bacterial small subunit ribosomal RNA
Source: RNAcentral